RNAcentral lists this unclassified non-coding RNA (378 nucleotides) under plant metagenome. Its description in RNAcentral is "partial contains 5.8S ribosomal RNA, internal transcribed spacer 2, and large subunit ribosomal RNA". The stretch from base 1 to 105 matches the Rfam family "5.8S ribosomal RNA", at positions 50 to 154 of the family's 154-position model. The record is from RNAcentral.
GAAAUGCGAUAAGUAAUGUGAAUUGCAGAAUUCAGUGAAUCAUCGAAUCUUUGAACGCACCUUGCGCUCCUUGGUAUUCCUUGGAGCAUACCUGUUUGAGUAUCAUGAAAUCUUCAAAGUAAAUCUUUUGUUAACUCAAUUGGUUUCUACUUUGGUAUUGGAGGUCUUUGCAGCUUCACACCUGCUCCUCUUUGUUCAUUAGCUGGAUCUCAGUGUUAUGCUUGGUUCCACUCGGCGUGAUAAGUUAUCUAUCGCUGAGGACACUGUAAAAGGUGGCCAAGGUAAAUGCAGAUGAAACGCUUCUAAUAGUCCAUUGACUUGGACAAUACUUUUAUGAUCUGCUCUCAAAUCAGGUAGGACUACCCGCUGAACUUAAGC